This 178-nucleotide unclassified non-coding RNA is filed under the name Caloramator proteoclasticus DSM 10124. The record is from RNAcentral. Lineage: Bacteria; Bacillati; Bacillota; Clostridia; Eubacteriales; Clostridiaceae.
UCCAUCGUGAGGUGGAAUUUAAAGGAAGCCGGAGGCAAAGUUCCGACUCGAUGAACAAGAACCACAUAUGAGGCUGACUUGAGGCGGACGAGUUUGCAUAACAAAACAAAGUCCAGUGUGAGAGGAUGCUGAAUAAAAUAAUUAUUCAGCUCCUACACGAUUUUAAAAAGCACUAUUU